Non-coding RNA from Aedes aegypti (yellow fever mosquito), 47 nucleotides. Lineage: Eukaryota; Metazoa; Arthropoda; Insecta; Diptera; Culicidae. The record is from Rfam.
CCAUCGGUUCUUUUCAGAGCCAUCAAAUUUGUGGAAAAGAGUUAAAU